Homo sapiens (human) is the source of this 341-nucleotide long non-coding RNA. RefSeq lists it as uncharacterized. The transcript is spliced from 3 exons. The record is from RefSeq and is a predicted model, not a curated record. NCBI's taxonomy places the organism in Eukaryota, Metazoa, Chordata, Mammalia, Primates, Hominidae.
GGGCACAUUUUGGGAAAGACUAAUGUAGUAGGUCUUUUCCAUUUCUUAUAUCUAUGAUAACUGCCAUUUCAUCUGAAUUUGUUGUAGCUGGGGACUUAACAGGAAAUAUCAGCUGAUGAAGGAAAUGCCAGACAUUCGUUACUAACAAUAACUGAAUACCUAUUGUGCAUGUCCUAUGGGGAAUAGCAGUUAGAAAAACAGGAAAUGUAGCAGAAAAUGGUUGGCCAGCUACUUUGGAAGUCCAGAGCUACGUUAUUAAAAUCAGAAACAUCCACUGCUAGGAUAAAAAUGCAAAUAUAUGCACCACUUUUCUUCUUGCUUAGUCCACAGGACAUCUAGUG